GAUGAACGCUGGCGGCGUGCCUAAUACAUGCAAGUCGAGCGAACGGACGAGAAGCUUGCUUCUCUGAUGUUAGCGGCGGACGGGUGAGUAACACGUGGAUAACCAACCUAUAAGACUGGGAUAACUUCGGGAAACCGGAGCUAAUACCGGAUAAUAUUUUGAACCGCAUGGUUCAAAAGUGAAAGACGGUCUUGCUGUCACUUAUAGAUGGAUCCGCGCUGCAUUAGCUAGUUGGUAAGGUAACGGCUUACCAAGGCAACGAUGCAUAGCCGACCUGAGAGGGUGAUCGGCCACACUGGAACUGAGACACGGUCCAGACUCCUACGGGAGGCAGCAGUAGGGAAUCUUCCGCAAUGGGCGAAAGCCUGACGGAGCAACGCCGCGUGAGUGAUGAAGGUCUUCGGAUCGUAAAACUCUGUUAUUAGGGAAGAACAUAUGUGUAAGUAACUGUGCACAUCUUGACGGUACCUAAUCAGAAAGCCACGGCUAACUACGUG
This 497-nucleotide ribosomal RNA is filed under the name uncultured bacterium. RNAcentral describes it as "partial 16S ribosomal RNA". It matches the Rfam family "Bacterial small subunit ribosomal RNA", at positions 28 to 507 of the family's 1533-position model. The record is from RNAcentral.